Molecule: long non-coding RNA, 704 nt
Filed under: Homo sapiens (human)
Lineage: Eukaryota; Metazoa; Chordata; Mammalia; Primates; Hominidae
Description: HSALNT0301288
Source: RNAcentral
CUUUCCGGCCGGACUGCCGCGCCUGUGGCCGGAAGAGCCAGCUAGACCAGAGAGUCUGUACCUGCAACCCUGGCGGCGUCCGAGCCCAAGGCGGAGUCUGGGAGACAAAGAAGUCCUCGCCGCCGGCCGCUGGAGGAUUCUGCCAGUAGUGAAAGAUGGGGUCUCGUUAUGUUGACCAGGCUGGUCUUGAACACCUGACCUGAAGUGAUCCUCUUGCCUCAGCCUCCCAUAGUGCUGCGAUCACAGGUGUGCAUGCCUUCCUUAUUUCUCAUACUCAUCACCUCCUCUUCCCGCUUGGAACUGCCCACACUGGUGAUUUCCUUGUUAAGGAACUUGAUGGCGUUGUGCAUGCUCGCUGACAGGGGACGGCACUGAGUCAGGAAGCUAUAAUACAACAGCAAUACCUUAUAUCUGCGCAACUCUUCACAACUUACAAAGCCUUCACAUUUAAAAAAAAAGUCUUUAAAAAGAAAAUAGAACACAAAAUGAAAAGAGAGAUAGAAAAGCAGGAAAAAGAGUACAAGACAAAGAUUGGGCGAGCUGGGAGUGGACUUAUAGUGUUGUCCCUACCUCAUGUAGGGUUUUAGUUUAUUCACUAGAUCCCUGGAGAGUUCUUCAUUAGGCGGUGUUGUGUAAUCCUGAAUCACCUAUAGGGUACACAAGGUGAUCUGCAAAAUACCCCUUAAUAAAGAUCUCUGAACGGG